RNAcentral lists this ribosomal RNA (501 nucleotides) under uncultured bacterium. RNAcentral describes it as "partial 16S ribosomal RNA". It matches the Rfam family "Bacterial small subunit ribosomal RNA", at positions 28 to 523 of the family's 1533-position model. The record is from RNAcentral.
GACGAACGCUGGCGGCGUGCUUAACACAUGCAAGUCGAACGGCAGCACGGGUGCUUGCACCUGGUGGCGAGUGGCGAACGGGUGAGUAAUACAUCGGAACGUACCUUAUCGUGGGGGAUAACGCAGCGAAAGCUGUGCUAAUACCGCAUACGCCCUGAGGGGGAAAGCGGGGGAUCGCAAGACCUCGCGCGAUUAGAGCGGCCGAUGCCUGAUUAGCUUGUUGGGGGGGUAAAAGCCCACCAAGGCGACGAUCAGUAGCUGGUCUGAGAGGACGAUCAGCCACACUGGGACUGAGACACGGCCCAGACUCCUACGGGAGGCAGCAGUGGGGAAUUUUGGACAAUGGGGGCAACCCUGAUCCAGCAAUGCCGCGUGAGUGAAGAAGGCCUUCGGGUUGUAAAGCUCUUUUGUCAGGGAAGAAACACCGGCUCUAACACAGUCCGGGAAUGACGGUACCUGAAGAAUAAGCACCGGCUAACUACGUGCCAGCCGCCGCAGUAA